RNAcentral lists this ribosomal RNA (254 nucleotides) under uncultured bacterium. RNAcentral's name for it is "partial 16S ribosomal RNA". It matches the Rfam family "Bacterial small subunit ribosomal RNA", at positions 524 to 776 of the family's 1533-position model. The record is from RNAcentral.
GACGUAGGGCGCGAGCGUUGUCCGGAUUUAUUGGGCGUAAAGAGCUCGUAGGCGGCUUGUCGCGUCAACUGUGAAAACCCGUGGCUCAACCAUGUGGUCUGCAGUCGAUACGGGCAGGCUAGAAUUCGGUAGGGGAGACUGGAAUUCCUGGUGUAGCGGUGAAAUGCGCAGAUAUCAGGAGGAACACCGGUGGUGAAGGCGGGUCUCUGGGCCGAUAUUGACGCUGAGGAGCGAAAGCGUGGGGAGCGAACAGG